CCUACGGGGGGCAGCAGUGGGGAAUAUUGCACAAUGGGCGCAAGCCUGAUGCAGCCAUGCCGCGUGUGUGAAGAAGGCCUUCGGGUUGUAAAGCACUUUCAGCGGGGAGGAAGGCGUUAAGGUUAAUAACCUUGGCGAUUGACGUUACCCGCAGAAGAAGCACCGGCUAACUCCGUGCCAGCAGCCGCGGUAAUACGGAGGGUGCAAGCGUUAAUCGGAAUUACUGGGCGUAAAGCGCACGCAGGCGGUCUGUCAAGUCGGAUGUGGAAUCCCCGGGCUCAACCUGGGAACUGCAUUCGAAACUGGCAGGCUAGAGUCUUGUAGAGGGGGGUAGAAUUCCAGGUGUAGCGGUGAAAUGCGUAGAGAUCUGGAGGAAUACCGGUGGCGAAGGCGGCCCCCUGGACAAAGACUGACGCUCAGGUGCGAAAGCGUGGGGAGCAAACAGGAUUAGAUACCCCAGUAGUC
RNAcentral lists this ribosomal RNA (465 nucleotides) under uncultured Klebsiella sp. RNAcentral describes it as "bacterial SSU rRNA". It matches the Rfam family "Bacterial small subunit ribosomal RNA", at positions 338 to 795 of the family's 1533-position model. Lineage: Bacteria; Pseudomonadati; Pseudomonadota; Gammaproteobacteria; Enterobacterales; Enterobacteriaceae. The record is from RNAcentral.